UUUUAUUUGAUUCCAUAAGGAAGUUUCGCUAUCAUUCAUGUUUCUUCUAGUAUUUAUGUUCCAACUAUUGACCGUAGAAUUCCAAGCUUUUUUAAUAGUUUGAUCUUUAGAUAGAGAUAGGGCAAAAAGUCUUGCGUAUUUUAUGGAAAGGGGACCCUCUUGACUCCAAUCAAAAUGCCAAAAGGAGAUUUUCUCACCAUUGUUGAUUUCCCAAGCUUGUUUGUUUUCAAACCAUGCGAGGCUCUUGGUAAUAGAUCUCCAUGGUCCUCAAUUCGUACUGAAUUUUUCUUUUAUAGGGAUAGAAUCCACAAAGCUUCGUUGGUAUUUAACUUUAAUAAUCUUUCCCAAAAGAGCAUAAGGUUCCAUAUGGAAGCGCGAAAGCCGUUUCAUGAGCAGGGAGAAGUUUGUUUCUUUAAGCCUUGAAAUGCCUAAGCCACCUUCUUCUUUUGGCUUAGUGAUUUUGGACCAUUUGAUAAGGUUUUGUUUUGAUGGGAGACCGUCUGGAUGAGGAAUUUUUGGGAUUGUAGUAAUUGGUUUUAUUCCUCAGUGAGUUAAAAGACACUUUUAUUUUUGAAUUAGGCUUCAUUAAUGAAGUAUCUUUUUCCUUAUAUAUGCCAUCCUUUUUUUCCCUUAAUCCAAUGCCUCAUCAUUGAGUAUCUUCAAAGGCCCCAAAUUCACCGCAUCCAUGGCUUCUUCAUUCAAUGCUUUCAAAUUUUGUUUAUCUUCCGUUGAGAAUGGGGCUCCCUUGUCUCUAAUGGUAAUGAUGGACUUUAAUGAAACUAUCUUUUUCCAUUUAUUGUCUUUUCGGCUGUUAAAUUCAAAAAUUUCAGUGAGGUUGCCUUAUUUCCGUCGAAGAAGAAUUGUUCUGAUUCCAGGUUGAAUUCAUCAGAGGCUGCUGUUGCUUGUCUUUUGAAUGUUCCAUGAAGAUGAACAUCCCUUUCAGUGAGCCAUUAGAGCCCAUCAAAAUGAACUAUGAUUUAUAUGAUGAAUUUGUUUCCUUCCUUAUCAAAGAUUUUGAUAUUUGCAGCCAAAAAACCAGAGUAAUUGUACCUUAAUUUUACUCUUGCUUCGAUUAGAUUGUUACCUUCUUUUGUUUCUUCCCCAAUUUUGAUAAUCCUCCACAGGCCUUGCCAAUUUAUUGAAACGUUGAGAUGUUCUACAUAUGAAGUGGGAUUCCUCUGAAUUUGGUCCACCCUCCCUAACAUGGGAUUAGUUUUGGGGAGGCAUGUAGAGAGUGGGACCAUCUAUUGAUUUUGACAAAGUGUUUCCCAACUGUUGACCAUCCCCUAUUUUGACAUAGCAAGUUGACUAGAACAGCUUCUCUGAAGUUGAUUAUAGCAUUUUCAGAGUGUAACUGCGUGGUGACAUAUUUGAUGGUCAACGAUGCAAUAAAUGCUUGCCACUUGUUGAAAGAACACAUCCCUUUCACCAAGCUUACUAUUUGUGUGUGUUCCCCUUUGUAUGGAGAAAUUAUACUUAUUCCCUUAUGGAGAAAUUAUACUUAUUCCCUUAUAUACCUCAAAUAUUUGGGUUUCUCUAUAUAUGGAUGUCAUUGAAUGUGCUAAAGCUCUUUCUCCCACCUUUUAAGCUUUCUCAUUGCAUAUUUUGUAUAAACAUCUCUCCAGUAGAGUGCUUCACUUAUCUUGUCUCUUCAAUGUUCAAAAUACAGAAGUUGUGCAAUAAAAUGUCAAUCUAAUCAAAGAAGUUAUGAGUAA
Long non-coding RNA from Cucumis melo (muskmelon), 1715 nucleotides. RefSeq lists it as uncharacterized. The record is from RefSeq and is a predicted model, not a curated record. Lineage: Eukaryota; Viridiplantae; Streptophyta; Magnoliopsida; Cucurbitales; Cucurbitaceae. The transcript is spliced from 3 exons.